UAUUCUAAUAAUCUUUUUUAGGUAUUCCAUACAUUUUAUAUAGAUAGAUUGAAUUUUGAGUUACAAUUUGUAUACUUUAUUUAUGCACAGGUUCGAUCUAAUUUCUAAGUUGUAUUUUUUUCAAAUCACCUUCAUCACUGACUCAGUGAGAUUGAAUUUGCUCGUGUAGACCCGUCUGAGAUAAGAACUUCGUAGGGUAGGUUCUGACCAGUUCGAACUCAGAUUGCUCUCCUUGUAUGGAGAGGGCUUGCAAGGAUGUAUUGAGAUGGCAUUUCGAAAGAAAUUUGGAGUAUUUUGGCAGCACCUUUCGUUUGAAGAAUUAGGUGUCAGUUUGAACUAUUUAUAGCUAAACUAAUAAUUAUUAGAUAUUAAUUGUGUUAUUGGAGAGUGAACUGUCCAGUUCUGUAAUUUAAUGAUGUGACUUUGCCUAUUCGGUUCCUUUUAUCUUUUAACAUUCAAUCA
Molecule: long non-coding RNA, 462 nt
Organism: Ipomoea nil (Japanese morning glory)
Lineage: Eukaryota; Viridiplantae; Streptophyta; Magnoliopsida; Solanales; Convolvulaceae
Exons: 2
Source: RefSeq, a predicted model, not a curated record